ACUUAUAUAAUUUAUGCAGAAUAUUGUAUUGAAGAUACAAAAGAGAUAAAAAUAUCUGUAAGUA
RNAcentral lists this transfer RNA (64 nucleotides) under Kroppcarcinus siderastreicola. RNAcentral's name for it is "tRNA-Phe". The record is from RNAcentral. Lineage: Eukaryota; Metazoa; Arthropoda; Malacostraca; Decapoda; Cryptochiridae.